AUCCCUCCUUAUUCUACUUAAUUAGUACUGCUGUCAGGAUCUGGCUCACACCACCCCCAGCAGCUGCAGGAUCGGGGCCAGCCUGACCCAGGAAUGACCUGGUUUUUGCUGGCUCAAGCCCUGGCCUGUGUAGCAGCUGCUGGGUCACUCAUGAGGCUCACCUGGAAACCUGGAGGGAAGACCUAUUUAAGGAGUGGUUCUGCCUUCGAAAAGUUGCCUUAGCCAAAGAUCUUCACCUGUGCCAUACUGGUCUUGAUUACCUGUGUUUCAGUGCCUCUGCCUGCCUCUCCCCCCACCCCACUUGUCUCUGCCAUCUCUAUAUCUGGACUCCAGUGUCCCUGUUCCUGCCUUGGUGCCCUGCUUGCUUCUGCUGGUCUCCUGUAUCUCAAGUUUCUUUUUCUGGCUCCCAGUCUGGUACUCCUGCCUCUGUUUGGUCAUAGCCAGCUACACAUCAGUGUCUUUGGAUUUGAUACCCUGUGUGGUGGACUGGGUCCUGGUGCUCUUGUCCAUGGUGAGAGGCUGCCUGGGAUAUCUUUGACUGUGAGAAGUACCAAUAAUUUUACUGGAGCUAUCCAUGCACAUGAAGAAUUUUUCUUCAUUCACUUGAAUGGAAGCGGUAGAUACCUAUGUAUUUCCUUUAAACCAGGAGUGGGGUAAAUGUAUCUCUUUGGUGGUGGUUGUACUACAGCUCCCAUGAUUCUACAGACAGCACAACUUGACAGUGAAGCAUGCUGGCAUUUGUAGCCCAUCCCCUGCUUUGAACACAUCAAGCAACAUCUUUUUUUUGAAACAGGUAGGCAGACUGGCCUUUGGACAGCACAUGGACCAGCACAGCAGAGUGUUUACAGUUGAAGAUGAGGGAAAUCAUCUGA
This 872-nucleotide long non-coding RNA is filed under the name Pogona vitticeps (central bearded dragon). RNAcentral describes it as "lncRNA (ENSPVIG00000022171.1)". The record is from RNAcentral. Lineage: Eukaryota; Metazoa; Chordata; Lepidosauria; Squamata; Agamidae.